This 89-nucleotide small RNA is filed under the name Salinivibrio sp. KP-1. RNAcentral's name for it is "t44 RNA". It matches the Rfam family "t44 RNA". From Rfam's summary of the family: This family consists of a number of bacterial RNA genes of between 135 and 170 bases in length. The record is from Rfam by way of RNAcentral. Lineage: Bacteria; Pseudomonadati; Pseudomonadota; Gammaproteobacteria; Vibrionales; Vibrionaceae.
AUACUUUUUAUUUUAAAUCACACACAUAUCGACACAUUAACCGGGGUGCCCUCAAGCGGGUCGGUGAAUGGGAUAUGUGGAGGCCUAAC